UAGGUUACUCUAGUUUCUUAGCUACAAAAAGAAAAAAAGAAAAGGAAAAUCUAGUUUACGGUAUAAUCAUGUAUCACGAUCGCCGUCAAAGUGAGUUAUAUCAGCCUCCACAAAAACUGAAUCAAGAAGCAAGUCAUCAUCCGCCCACCCAUUGUUGCGAAUCCUUUCUACUUAAACGAGACAGCUCAAGUCAAACCUUCUAGUCAGCUUAAUCUUUUUCAUAUCAAGAUUAGGAUGACGAGGUCAUACACGUGGCACUUCCUGAUUGCAUCAUCUAAAUUUCCUUACCUUUGAUUGGAGGAUAAUCAUGGGACCCAUUUAAUGGAUCCACUUGGUAUUAUAAUGCCUUUGUCUCCACUUUGUCUCCCGCUUCUUUCCCCUCCCCCUCUCAAAGCCUCAAACAUCUUUUCCUUUUUGUACUUGAAUA
This 427-nucleotide long non-coding RNA is filed under the name Theobroma cacao (cacao). RNAcentral's name for it is "long non-coding RNA (TCAC_LNC003648)". The record is from RNAcentral. Lineage: Eukaryota; Viridiplantae; Streptophyta; Magnoliopsida; Malvales; Malvaceae.